CCGAGAUUGCGCCACUGCACUCCAGCCUGGAUGACAGAGUGAGACUCUGUCUCAAAAAAAUAAAAAAUAAAAAAAUAAUUAGCCAGGCAUGGUGAUGUGUGCCUAUAGUCCCAGCUACUCGGGAGGCUGAGGUGGGACAAUCACGUGAGCCCAGGAGUUUGAGCUGUGAUUGCGCCCCUGCAUUCCUGCCUGGGUGGCAGAGCAAGGCCCUGUCUCAAAGAAAGAAAUUGAAUUAAGAAGCAUAAAGAGGGAAGCCUGUUAGCUAUGGAGGAAUGAGCAGAAACUAUAGGGCAACAAGGAACUGGUGAGGAAGAGAGAGAAGAGAGUGGAUAUGCCAAGAGGAGCAAGGGCGUUGUGGAGCAAGGAAGAGAGAGAAGAGAGUGGAUAUGCCAAGAGGAGCAAGGGUGUUGUGGAGCAAGGAACUGAGAGCCCCAGUUUCACAUGUGUCCUAAAAAUCAUCUCCCUUGUUCAUUAAUUCAUUCAAUUGUUCAUUCAACCAUGGCUUAUUCUGUUAAGCACUGUUCUAGUCAGGCUCUGGGGACUUCAUAUUAAGCAAGUUCCUGCCCUAUUGGGAUUACAUUCUGGUGGGAAAAACGGACAAUCGUUGAGUAACAAUUAAAGACUCACACAGAGGCAUUCCUGAUUAUGAAUGAUAGAAUGAAGGAAAGAAACUCAGGUCUGAGAGAGAGAAGCAGUGGGGAACUGAGAGCAGACAAGGAGGGCUGUGAAGAUCAGAUCUUGGAGAGGGCCUUGGAGCUGAGAAUCAGAGGGUGGAGAGGAGGCAGCCAAGCAAAGGGAGUGGGAAAAGGACUUCACUCAGAGGACUCUGCCCUUGUUGGGAGGGGCUUGCUGGCUUCCAGGAAUGGGGUGAGGGUGGUGGGGCGGGGAACAGUGGAGCCAAAGGGAAGUGGGGUUGGAGAGGUGGGAGGAGCCAGAUGAGUCCUGCCUUUCUGUUAAUUUAGAUGAAGUUCUGUUCUGGAUGUGGAGGAACGGGGUGGGGGGGCAUCUCCCCAUUCUGGGAAGCUUCAGUUCUUGGCAGAAGUGAGAAAGCUACUCCUGACCGUGGGCAUCGGAUGGGUGGUGAUCAAACUAGGAUGCAUUCCCUCCCUGGCUUUUAGUGUCUGUUGGUUAGCCAGGGAACUUGAGUUAGGCACUGUAUUAAGCAUGUCUUUUUAUUCUGAUGUUUUGACAUCUGGGGUCUUACUGACUCCAGCUCCCAGGGCUAGCUGCCCUUCCCUGGGCUAGCUUACAAAGCACACCUUUCAAAUGCAAACCAACCAAUCCAGAUCCCACACCCGCAACCGCCCCCUUUAUCAGGCUCUCACACUCUGGGCCACCACUCCCCUGCCCUAAUCACCCCAGGGCCAGGUGCCAGACAACUCAGGGCGGAUCCAUAUCCCACAGCCUACUGACAAACCAGCCAACCCUAAACCUGCUUCCCCUGCCUUGCCCAUUCCUUACCAUAGAAAACCACAAUAAAGCCUCUAGCCCGUUUCCCCUCACUCCCUCUGCCUCCUGAACAACCCUGAUGCUUCCCUGUGUGGUCCCUUGUGGCAUAGAGUGCCCCCUCUUCUCAGGAACUAUGGUGAUGGCCAGGGUGCACAAGACCCCGGUGAAGGAUGGGAAAAAGAGCAAGAAGAUGAAGAAAGUCAUCAUCUGUGAGGCCCGCCAGGCUUUGCUCGGAGGCUGGAAAUUCAUCAUCAGGCUGAUCUGAAGAGAGAGAGGCAGCCACCUCCCAUCUGCAGCCGGAGCAGCGGCAGAGGGACCCCAGCCAGGCCUGGCUUCCUGACACCUUUGCAGAGCCCCCUUCCCCAGCUUUAAGCGCCACCAGGUCACAGGUGACUGAACAAAGCUGAUUGAUGGCAAUGUCGGACUGACUCACAUUUUUGGAGUAGAACAUGAUGAAAAGCAUAAUCAUUUGGAUAAAGGGCAGCAGGGGGCAGAAGAAGAUGCCAAUCCUGUGAGGGAGAGAGGAAUCGUAACACUGAAAUGUGGUGCUGAAGUCAGAGCACGUAACACAAGGGAAGAAGUUUAUGGAGUUGGGGAUCUCAAAGAUCACAAAGGAAAACAACAAAAAAAACACAUAUAUGUGUUAAAGCUCAAAGUGAGAGCAAAUGAAUAAUGGCUGCACUUUAUUCCAAUUCAGUGUUUUUCUCUUUCCUGUAACAAAAAACAUUUAGCAAAGUCAAUAAGAUCCUGCGUGUUUGGUCACCCUACCUCUUCUAUUUUUUUUUUUUUUUUUUUUUGAGACAGGAUCUUGCUGUGUCACCCAGGCUAGAGUGCAGUGGCACAAUCACAGCCCACUGCAACACUG
This 2314-nucleotide long non-coding RNA is filed under the name Homo sapiens (human). RNAcentral describes it as "HSALNT0228485". Lineage: Eukaryota; Metazoa; Chordata; Mammalia; Primates; Hominidae. The record is from RNAcentral.